This 27-nucleotide non-coding RNA is filed under the name Mus musculus (house mouse). The record is from RNAcentral. Lineage: Eukaryota; Metazoa; Chordata; Mammalia; Rodentia; Muridae.
UAUAAACCUUAAACAAGAAGCUGGGCC